This 451-nucleotide ribosomal RNA is filed under the name uncultured bacterium. Its description in RNAcentral is "bacterial SSU rRNA". It matches the Rfam family "Bacterial small subunit ribosomal RNA", at positions 29 to 463 of the family's 1533-position model. The record is from RNAcentral.
AACGAACGCUGGCGGCGUGCCUAACACAUGCAAGUCGUGCGAGAAAGUUCCUUCGGGAGCGAGUAAAGCGGCGCACGGGUGAGUAACACGUAGGUAACCUGCCCCCAGUCUGGAACAACUAGAGGAAACUCUAGCUAAUGCCGGAUGAGACCACGAUCCCUUCGGGGGUUGCGGCCAAAGAUGGCCUCUACUUGUAAGCUAUCGCUGAGGGAUGGGCCUGCGGGCCAUUAGCUUGUUGGUGAGGUAACGGCUCACCAAGGCUGUGAUGGCUAGCUGGUCUGAGAGGAUGACCAGCCACACUGGGACUGAGACACGGCCCAGACUCCUACGGGAGGCAGCAGUGGGGAAUAUUGCGCAAUGGGCGAAAGCCUGACGCAGCGACGCCGCGUGGGUGAUGGAAGGCCUUCGGUCGGUAACGGACCGUCGUCCGCGACGGGAAGGAAGUAAGACA